AUAAUGUCACGUUGUGGUCACUGAACUUCCGUUUGCUGCUCAACGGUCACUGAACUUACAAACACACCACUCCAUCCAUCACUCACCUCAAAGCCAUUUGAAAUUGUGUGAUCUGGCCCUGACGGAAUUCCAUGUGGCAUUCAACGGCGUCAAAAGUGAUACACGAUGGACAUGUUUAAGAUUACACGACCCUAACCCAUUCAAAAUUGAAAACCAAUUUCCCUAAUUCACUCUCCCAUGAACCCUAAUUCAAUCUCCCCCAAUUCAAAAUCCUGGAUCGAACAUAGAGUCACUUGCCAGAAGUUCUUCGCCUUCCAAUGUACACCAUCCCCAGCUGCAGAUGAUUAUCAACCAAUAAAAUCUGAACCCACGUCCCGUUACCUAAAUGUUGAAAACUCGAAGAAGGAAACCAGAGGAGCCCAACCAACUGCGAACGGUGAAGGUAAUCUCUUAAAUUCUUAUUUACUGGUAUGAAGAAUAUGUAAUUGACACUGUUGAAUGACCGAAUUUUUGUUCAAAUUUGCUGACUGCACAAAAUCAAAGAGAGUUGUAAGAUUUUCCUUCGUUCAAAUUGUUUCAAUAAUUUCUCAUUGAAAGCACUUUGAAUUUUCAAUUUUGAACUUGGGUUCAUCACUUUGAAUUUUCAAUUUUAAACCUGGGUUCAUCCUGUGAGCAUUUUUGAAAUUGGACAUUGUUUAAUUUUGUUUCAGGAGGCAUCCCGUAAGCAUUAAUUCUUGUUACAGAAUGCUCAAAAUGAUAUGGUGGUCAUUGUUUAAUUUUGUUGGAGGAGGCUGAAAAUGAACUGAUGGUCGUAGUUGUGAUAGGAAAUUAUUGAAUUAGCGUUGCGGAUGAUAUUAGUUUGAUGAUUAUCAGCAUUAUUAGUAAAAGUAUUAUGGUUACAAAAUUAAAAUGUCUUGUUAAAUUGUGUUCUUGAAUGGUGAGAAAUUUUUAUGCAGAUUAGGAUAUUAUGUGGUGUCGAACAUGAUGAUUCGAAGAGGCUGGUUUUUGUAUCAAAAUCAAUAAAAGAUGUGGUAAGAUUUUGUAGUCCUAAAGAUUUUGAUUUUAAUCAUUUUUUCUUCCCCCUCCCCCUCGCCCUCCCCUUGGGGAUUUACUUGAGUAUAAAUAUUAAUUUGGAUUCUUUUUUUAAUAGACUCUGAUUGCAAAGCAGUGGCAAUUUGCAUAGAGGAAAACUAUUGGGUUCCAGAAUGUGGAGGAUUUGGGUGAGUUCAAUGACAUUGAGGCAUGGACGAAGCAACAAAGAGUUUCCAAACUUAGCUUAUAAAAGAAAUCUACCAAGUGAUCACAUUACGUUGUAUUAAGCUUCAUGUUGCAUUUCAAUUCCAAGUAAUCAGGCAAAAACAAGGGAUAUGGAAUCAAGGAAGCUUAUGAAAGAUAUAUGCAGGCACUGUGGGGAGAAGUUGUUGGGGUCUCGUAUUGAGGCACGAACAAUAUACUGUCCAAUGUGUGGUGCUACUACAAUACUUCAAAUACCACAGCAGCUGGUCACUCUUCCCGCACAUGGACGGGCGUUACCUACAAGGGACAUCGAUACUGAUGAAGAUCGUGAAAAAGGGUGUUAAUGUUUUUGUGGAUAAGGGUGUUGAUAACUUUGUAGUGUCAAAGUAAUGUAAAUGUAUUUUUUAUGGUGUUUUCAGAUGUCAAACAACUGAAGUUUUUCGGCGAACACUCACUUUGAAUGCUGAUUUGUUUUUUCCAUUGACUAAGUUCCUUUUUUGUGGCUUCUGUUUUGAUUUUGUUGUGCUUGCAAAGACUUGUUUGAUUUGAGAUUGAACAUAAUUAUGUGAAGUUGUGCAUGAACG
This 1820-nucleotide long non-coding RNA is filed under the name Olea europaea subsp. europaea. Lineage: Eukaryota; Viridiplantae; Streptophyta; Magnoliopsida; Lamiales; Oleaceae. The record is from RNAcentral.